Molecule: long non-coding RNA, 561 nt
Organism: Neopsephotus bourkii (Bourke's parrot)
Lineage: Eukaryota; Metazoa; Chordata; Aves; Psittaciformes; Psittacidae
Exons: 2
Source: RefSeq, a predicted model, not a curated record
GCCUAUUCAUGUACCCUUUUGCUGUCCAUUUUUCAUGGUUGGUUCAUAGAGGAUAACAGCCUAUUAAAUCUGACCCCAGCAGAAUUGUUCAAAAAGUGGUCCCUUCAGACCCUCAAAGGCAAUAAGAAAACUAUGGAACAUCUCCCAGCACACUGAAACAUGUUUAUGCACACUUCUCUAGCAAGACAACAUCAGUACUGCAAUCUAAAGAGUCCUGUUGUCAGAGAAAGGUUAUAUGUUACAAAGCUGACAAGAAUUUCUGUAUGCUGGAGCAGGAAUGUGUUCUUUCACUGGUUUUAUAAAUAUUUCUUCAGCCUUAAUGUAUUUUUUUUAUAACAGUGAACCCUGGUACAACAAUGAUAAAAUUUUCAUUUGUAUCUGGUGAGGCAGACAAAAAAAUUGAUGAUAGUCUAUAAGGCCCAUAAUUUAUGAGCUAAUAACUGUAAUACAAGCAUAACCACAACCUAAAAUUCAUGAGAAUUAUACAUACAGUCAUCUAGGACUUAGUGGCCAAAGGAGCUUCUUACUUUUGGAAUUAAACUGGUGUAAAACAUAAGGUAA